RNAcentral lists this ribosomal RNA (481 nucleotides) under uncultured bacterium. RNAcentral describes it as "bacterial SSU rRNA". It matches the Rfam family "Bacterial small subunit ribosomal RNA", at positions 329 to 802 of the family's 1533-position model. The record is from RNAcentral.
GUACUUACUCCUACGGGAGGCAGCAGUGGGGAAUAUUGGACAAUGGGCGCAAGCCUGAUCCAGCCAUACCGCGUGGGUGAAGAAGGCCUUCGGGUUGUAAAGCCCUUUUGUUGGGAAAGGAAUCCAGCCGGCUAAUACCUGGUUGGGAUGACGGUACCCAAAGAAUAAGCACCGGCUAACUUUGUGCCAGCAGCCGCGGUAAUACGAAGGGUGCAAGCGUUACUCGGAAUUACUGGGCGUAAAGUGUGCGUAGGUGGUCGUUUAAGUCCGUUGUGAAAGCCCUGGGCUCAACCUGGGAACUGCAGUGGAUACUGGUCUACUAGAGUGUGGUAGAGGGUAGCGGAAUUCCUGGUGUAGCAGUGAAAUGCGUAGAGAUCAGGAGGAACAUCCAUGGCGAAGGCAGCUACCUGGACCAACACUGACGCUCAUGCACGAAAGCGUGGGGAGCAAACAGGAUUAGAUACCCCUGUAGUCCAGGCAU